GGGGAAUAUUGGACAAUGGGCGCAAGCCUGAUCCAGCCAUGCCGCGUGGGUGAAGAAGGCCUUCGGGUUGUAAAGCCCUUUUGUUGGGAAAGAAAAGCAGCCGGCCAAUACCCGGUUGUUCUGACGGUACCCAAAGAAUAAGCACCGGCUAACUUCGUGCCAGCAGCCGCGGUAAUACGAAGGGUGCAAGCGUUACUCGGAAUUACUGGGCGUAAAGCGUGCGUAGGCGGCUUUUUAAGUCGGAUGUGAAAUCCCCGAGCUUAACUUGGGAAUUGCAUUCGAUACUGGGAAGCUAGAGUAUGGGAGAGGAUGGUAGAAUUCCGAGUGUAGAGGUGAAAUUCGUAGAUAUUCGGAGGAACACCAGUGGCGAAGGCGGCUCACUGGACCAUUACUGACGCUGAGGUGCGAAAGCGUGGGGAGCAAACA
RNAcentral lists this ribosomal RNA (426 nucleotides) under uncultured Pseudomonadota bacterium. Its description in RNAcentral is "bacterial SSU rRNA". It matches the Rfam family "Bacterial small subunit ribosomal RNA", at positions 356 to 774 of the family's 1533-position model. The record is from RNAcentral. Lineage: Bacteria; Pseudomonadati; Pseudomonadota.